UCUGUAUUUUGAAUCAGAGAUGUUUCUUCGGAUCUGAAAUUAGUGAGAGACGAUGGGAAUCAAUUUUCUCCCUCUUCAAAAUCUAUGGCUUCUCUGAAACCCAAAUCUCCAACCUCAUAAGAAAAAGGCCAAUACUGCUAUCUUCUCAUCCAGACAAAAUACUAAAACCCAAAUUAGAUUUCUUCAAUUCAUAUGGGUUUUCACCCUCUGACCUUGAUAAAAUACUCACUACGGACCCCCGUAUCAUGAAUCGAAGUCUUGAUAAUCAAAUUAUACCUUCGUGUGAGUUGUUGAAGAGUUUACUUGGGGAUAAUGAGAGUGUAAUUGCUGUAAUAAAGAGGCACAUUCCGGUACUCAAGCAAGACCUUAAAAAAAGAUUAGCACCCAAUAUUGCUGUAUUGCGCGAUUAUGGCGUGUUGGAUGAUAGGAUUAGCACGACGCUAAGGAGACAUCCUAGGACAUUGGUGCAAGCUCCUGAUAGGUUUAUAUUGCUGGUUAAAGAGAUUAAGGGAAUGGGUUUUGAACCGGUAAAGAGUCAUUUUAUUGUGGGAUUAGAGGUAUUGUCUGGAUUGAGCAAAUCAAUGUUUAAGCGAAAGUGGGAUCUUUAUAGCAAGUGGGGUUGGUCAGAUGAUGAGAUUCAUUCGGCAUUUAGGAGGCUACCCCAAUGUAUGUCACUUUCGGAGGAGAAGUUGGAGCGGGUGAUGGUUUUUUUGGUUAACAGAAUGGGAUGGGAUGCAUCAAAGGUUGCAUCUUGUCCUUCUGUUGUUACUUAUAGUCUGGACAAGCGGACUAUUCCACGGUGUUUGGUUGUUCAGUUUUUGUUGUCUAAGGGUGUGAUACAGGACUUAACAUUGAGUUCAUUCAUCCCGAGGUUGGAGAAACAAUUCUUAGAAAAGUUUGUGGUAAAAUAUUGUGCAGAAUUCCCUGAAGUUCUUGAUUUGUAUGGAAGGAUAGUGGAUGAUAUACAGAAAUUGCAGGUUAGUUGACUUUCCACCGCGGGGGUAACAUGCAAUAAACUCAUUUUUGUUCAACUCAAAUUCCAAUUAUUGAAUACUUUAUUGGCAGGGGCAAAACUAUUCUCUCUCUCUCAUGUAAAUUAAUGGAGUGGUUAGUAUGAAGUUAACUUUGGUUAAUUGAUCAAUAUAGGGUCGACACGCAGGCCGGAAGGUGAUCUCUUUGCGUGUGAACAUUGUGUUGGUCAAUUGAUCAACUUAUCAUGAAGUUAACUUCAUGGUAACCAGAUCCGUAAAUUAAUGGGAAUAAUUUUCUUCUGUAGUAGCAGUAGUAUAUAUUAUAUAUGAGUAAAUCUAUACACACACCCAUUUUACUCCCUCCUUCCCGAUACACACCUCCGACAAUGGCCUAUUUUUUUUUUUAAAAUUUUUGCCAAAACUUUAAUGGCCCCUUUUUCAACCUUUUCUAUUUUGCAGUUUCAACCAUCUGUCUUCUCUCACGCAUCUCUCUCUUCGGGGGUGUAUUCAAUUAAGAUUUUUAAAGACUUUUUUUAAGUGACAUACUUUGUAGAAUUUGUGAGAUUUUAAUGACUUUCAAAGACUUUAAACACUUUUUUAAAAUGACUUUUAUAGACUCUAUGAAAUAAGUAAUAGACUUUUAUAAACUUUUUAUCAAGACUGUGAUAGACUUUUGUAUACUUCUAAUAUAUCUUGCAACUUAUAUUAAUUGUUAAUUAACCCAUGUGUACAACAUCUCCCUCUUUUUUCAUGAACUAAAGUAAAUCUCAUUAUAUUAUUGUGGCAUGAGAUUUUAUAUAUGUUGAAAGCGUUCAUAUUAUUCUACUCAUUUCAUAAUACAUUUGGAUACUCGGAUACCAAUAAAACUUUAGAAACUACAGACGCAAUACAAAAAUUAAACUCACUUUUCAUUGAGCUAUAUAUACUUUAUGCAUAUGCGUACGCUUAUUUGGAAUUAUUGUUUUUCAUUCUGAUCUACAAAAGUUGUCAUCAAUACUUAUUUACGUAACUAGCAAUUAAAAAAAUUAAUAUAAACAUUUGUAAUAUAUAUCGAUUUCCAUUCAAAUAUUUGAAUAUUACCUCGUCUUAGUAUCAAAAUUUGCAAAUAAAAAUAAUAUAUACUUGUUUCAUGUAUAUUUUAAAAUAGCAAGUUAUUUUUCAAAUAAAAAAAUAUUUUUUUAUUUAUAUUCUUUUUAAUAAAUUUUUAGUUUAGUAAUGUAAUAUAUAAUAAAAUGAUGAUAAAAAGCUUGAAGAACUUAUAUAUUUUAUACAACUAUAUAUCACUAUAAAGUACGUACUCCUAUAUAAAUUACUUUCCCUCUCUCAUUUUUUUUCUUCAUUUAACUCUAAUUAAGUUAAUUUACGAAAUUAUAAAAUUAUAAAAUAUUGUGUAUUUAUUUUUAUUUUUGAAAUAAUAACGUGUGUUUAUUAUUAAAUAACAAAUAAAUUCAAAUUUUAAAAAUUUUGAAUUUUGUACGUUGACUACAAAAACAAAAUAAAUGUUUUAUUUUUGUGGGUACAGCAGAAGUAUUAAUUAUUCUAGAUUAUAAAGUAAUUAGAAAUAUUGGAUUCAUGUGAAGUAAUUAGAAAUAUUGAAUUCAUGUGAAUUGUAUUUUAAAUUUAUUUAGUUUAUUAAGAUGAGAUAUGAAGUCUUUAGAAAUCUUUAGAGAUGAGGUCAGACUUUGGAUAUGGGUUGAUAGUUAUAAUUCUUCUUCUAAAGUCUGUCAAACUCUACCAUUUAAUAGAAAUCUGAAAAGUCUAUGACUUUUUGAAUAUCAAAAUACUUUUAUAGACUUUGUAAAAAUCUUAAUUCAAUACCACCUAACUUUUAAAGACAUUAAAAAAGUUGUAAUUGAAUACCACUAGAUUUUUAUAAAUUUUUUAAAUGUCUUGAUUGAAUACAACCAAACUUUUAAAAUCUUUAAAAGUCUUUAAAAAUCUUAAUUGAAUACACCCCCUUCUUUUCCCCAAAUCAUCUCAUUCUAAUUAACCCAAAAUCAACGUCUCUCUCCUUCCUGUCUAUUUCUCUUUGACCCAAUAGCUGUGAAAUCAUUCAGUCUUACCUCUAAUCUCUACAUAACUAGAACCUUAAUCACUCCAAAUCAGUGUCUCUCUCGUCGCAUCUAUCAAAUUACUCACUCCUAGUACAUGUGUCCCUUUUAGCCUCUUAACAAGAAGAACAUCAAACAGCCAUGGCUGCCGAAUCCUCAAGAUCUAGUCCCUCUGAGAUUCCUAUGUCGGAAGCCUGAUCAACUUAAUUUCCAAGUCUGAAAUUCGAUACGAAGGCAUUCUUGUUAAUUCUAAUACUGCCGAAUCAAGCAUCGAAAUGGUAACUCCUGAUUUCUUACCCUUUAUUUUAUUUUUUAUUUUUUUGAAUUUGUUGUGGGGAUUUCUAUUUUUGUUAAAUUGUUAUGGGAUUCUGUUUAUUGGUGUAUGCAUUUUAGUUUGAAUUAUGUUGAUCACAUACAGAAAUAGUGACGUGACCUGCAUUGACAAUUAUAAAUUGGGGGUUUUCCUUGAUUUCUUGUCUAAUUGGGUUUUUUGUUUGUUUUGUCUUGUCACUCUGAGUAGGAGUAAAAAUAUUGAUACUUUUUCUUUGUAAUAUUUGAGUUUGGUGGAAUCAAGGGGGUCUGUUUGCAUUUUGCUAUUAGUGGUUGCUCUCUGAGUAUAAGAUCCCUGAACUGUUGGUUACAUUAUUUUCCCAAAUUUGAUAAAGCUUCCACUUUUUUAUAAUUUUUGCAAAUGGGUAUGGCUCUUUAUUAGUGCAGAUUUAGAUUUGCAACUGAAUCCUGUUGCCAUUAUUAUUGAUGCAUUAUUCUUGAAGAUUUUGUUUAACCUGCAUUUGGGAAUUGUUUUGUUUGUUCUUCUCCCAACUUCUUUUAUCAGACAAGUGCUUGAAAAUAGAUAGUAGCUGAGCCAUAAACUAGACAUUACAUGAACAAUUUAUCAUCAAUUACAUAAUACCUUAAUUGUGUUAGUGCUUUGCUUUGUUUGGCAUACAAUUAAUGUUUUGUUUCUAUUUUAUUUCCAAUUUUGCAAGGCUCUCAAAAAUUUGUCAAUAAAUGCUUUAAUUUUGUUUAUUAAGAUUGUACUGGUGUGAUUGAUUGUGAAUCUUGCUCAAGGUGAUUAUUUAAGUAUUGAUUCUACUUAUCAGUUCUUUCAAAUUAGAUGUGAAGUUCAAUUUUAAUGUAUUAGAUAGUUAACAUUUGCUUUGUAUUUUCCUUUUUUCUUACAAAUUGCAGAUCCAUAAAUGAGACUGGGAAUGGACCUGGAUUUUGACAAAUAUUGUGUAGUCUAUGGAAGUCCUAAUACUGUUGUCUGUUCUUCCAUGUAUGGGCCAUUGUUCCAAAGUUGAAAGGAAAAAGGCCGAAGGAAAACCCAAAUAUGGAAAUGAUCUGUUGAGCCACAAUAAGGGCUUCAAUGAUACUCCCUCCAUCCCAAAAUAUUUGAUGUUCUACAUAUUUUCACACAGAUUAAGAAUAGAUGUAAUUUUUCUAUUUUACCCUUAAUUAAUACUUUAUCUCGCCGGAUCUGACCAUUCAACUCCUUCUCAACUCUUCUUCUCCAUCUCCUCAUUAGCCGGAUCCAACUCUUCUUUUUCAUCUCUUCUCUUAUCAGUCGCACUCACUGAAUUCCGGCAGCUUCCAAAUCCGAACAACAUUGGUUUGGGAGCCAGUGUAGAGUAGGCCGUUAGAUGUGGCCAUGGACAAGAUCUGGCCGUUCUUCUUAAGGACAGAAGAGAUGCAACUGUAGGUGUGGGUGGUACCGUUGACGUGGCGGGGGGAAGAAGGUUGGGAAUUGCUGACGUGGAAGCAGGAGGAGGAGGAGAGAGAAGGGGAGCUUAGUCGAGGUGGCGUUAAUAAAGAAGCUGGUGCAGGAGGUUGUUCAGAGUGGAAGCUGUCUUCUUUAAGAGAGAGGCUUCUCAAGAAAUUGUUGUAGUGGGGGGUUUCUACUCUUAUUGCAAAAGAUGGAGGACUGAGAUUGGGGGUAGCCUCUAUUUCUUCCAUAUCUCUUUCUCUCCCUCUCUCCCUCUCUCCCUCUCCUGUUAUUCCUUGUGAGUCUUGAAGAAGAAGAAACGGUGACCGAGUUUCAGGAAAAAUAGGCAUUAAUAGUGGUAGAGAAGGAAGGGCACAGAAGGAAAAUAAAUGGCAAAAUAUUCUUGGAAUUGUAGAACGUCAAAUAUUUUGGAAAAAAAAAAACUCUUAAAAUGUCAAAUAUUUUGGGAUGGAGGGAGUAUUAGUUUUCAUAGUAAUGGUUGAGAUUUGUCAUUGUAGACUGAGGUGCUGUUUGUUUACAUCUAAUUGACUUUUAAUGGAUUGCCUCAUAUUUGUUAAGAGAUAUGAUAUUUUUUUUUUGUUACCUUUGAAUGUCUCUUAAUCAGUAAGACAUAAAUGAUAUCUUAAUAAUUAAGAGGUUCCUCUUAAUAAAAAAAUUUCAUAAAUUGUUUUUAUAUAAAUAUAUUCAAUAAUAUUAUGCACUUAUUUUUAUUAAAUUGAAUAUUUAAAAUUAUUAAAUAAAAUUUUAUCCUUUAAAAUGGUAAAAUAGUGUCGUUAAGAGAAUUUAUUUUUUAGUUAUCAAACAAUUUUUUAGAUUCAAACCUCAUAACCAUUCAGAUGAUUUAAUUUAUUAAGACAUCAUAAUUAUUCAGAUCUUAAUUCUCAUUUUUAUUAAACACAACAUGAAUUUGUGUAUUAGGAUGAAUACAAUAUUAUAGAUGCACUUUGUAUUGGUUCUAAUUCUAAUCAUGUCGCUAAUGCUACGUUUGGAUUGAAGGAAUAGAAUGAAAAGUAGAACGAUUCAUUCCAUUCUAGUAGGAAUGAAUUAUUCCAUGUUCUCCCUCCUCUAAGGAACCAAAUAAUUUUUUUCAUUCCAUAAGAAUGAGUCAUUCCCUUUCUCAUUCCACUAAUCUAAACGUAGCAUAAGAGAAGUUAUUAGAAUAGACUAAAUUGACGAACACAAUAAUUGGAUUUUAUUUUAUACACUAUAAUCAAUAUUUACAUGUUUACCAGGGACGUAUCCCAGGUAACAAAAAAAUGAUGAUAUAAUAUUGUACUGCAAAUAAGACAAUAUUUUCAUUGCACCGUGUGACAAUACAUGUUGUACCUCUUCACUCAUUCACUUUGUGAGCUUUGCUUGCUUGGGAUCCUCCUGCGAUAGUCUUGGGGGAGAAUGUUGGUCGUGAUGAACAUGGGGUCAUGUACACAUUCAUACUCAUGCCACAAAUGGUCAUGCUCAUGGCACUGCCGUCUCUUCUCAAGAAGAACAAUUCUCAAAUGCAGGUUAAGCAAGAUCAUCAAGAAUAAUGCAUCAACAAUAAUGGCAACACGAUUCAGUUGCAAAUCUAAAUCUGCACUAAUAAAGAGCCAUACUCUGAGAGCAAGAAUCUUGUACUCAGAAGGACCCCACUACUAAUUCCAAAGCUCCAGAUCAGAAAAACCUCCACACACUAAUCUUGAUCCCACCAAACACAAACAAAGAAAAAGUAUCAAUGUUUCUUACUCAUACUUAGAGUGACAGACAAAACAUACAAAAACCCAAUUAGACCAAAAAUCAUAUGUAAAGAAAACAUCUAUUCAAUGUAAGCCACAAACAAUACAAAUUAUUAAACAACAAUCAUAAAAUAAAAAAUCUACUUCAAUAAAAGUAAUAAUGCAAGACAAAGCUUCAGCAAGAACACUUUAAGCUACACAAAAUGAGCCGAAACAGACUGAGUUGGUUUCAAAGAUCUAACCAAGAAAGGCAUAGAAAUUUCUAACCAAACCCAACUGUGAACAAUGUCUCUUCUACAAUGGGCGCCUCUCAAAUUAAUUCAAGGGUUUGAAUAGAUAAAGCCUCUCUCUUGCAAAGAUAGAAGCUUUGUACAUGUACAACGUAGAUCAACGUAGGCUUCCAACGUAGGAAUCAACGGAGGCACUAGAUCUUGAGGAUUCGGCAGCCAUGGCUGUUUGAUGUUCUUCUUGUUAAGAGGCUAAAAGGGACACAUGUAUGUAAGGAAUAGGAAUCGGUUAGUAAUCAAGUCGUAGAGUGGGUACUGACACAACAUUUUAGAUAUCAAUAAGUCUUGGCAGACAGCUUUCUUGGACACAAAAAUUGGACAUUUUCAAUUUUCCUGCCCAAGAAAGCUGUCUGCGUAGGACUCUUUAGAUAUAUAUCAUGACAUUAGUUGUCCUUGUUUGGUAUUGACACAACAUUGUAGGUACUACCUCCGUUCCUUAAUAUAGGUCGUUUUACAGAAAUAUUUUUGUUUCUAAAUAUAAGUCGUUUGAGAAUUUCAAGUAAAUAUUAAUUGCUUAAUUUCCAAUAUUACCCCAAGUAAUAAAUAUAACUUUGGUUCUCUCACUAUUUUUUGACCAAUAAAUAAUACUCUUUUUUUUUUUCAAUACAAGAGCAAUAUAGACAAUUGAUAGCAUAUUUAAUGUUUUACAAUCAUUUUCUUAAUACUUGUGUACAAAUCUAAAUAUUAAGGAACGGAGGGAGUAAUGUGUAGUAAUUAUAUAUAUGCAUGUAUUAUAUCUUAUGGAAAAUAAAUAGACUAAAAAAAAACACUAUGUAAUGUGUCAAAGACACCGCUUUUUAGAAAAAAAAAGGUUAUGUAAUGUGUCAAAUAGACAAUGCUUUUUUAAAAAAAAAACGUUGUGAAAUGUGUCAAAUACACAACGUUUUUGUUUAAAAAACGUUGCAUAAUGUGUCAAAUACACAACUAAAAAACGUUGUCUAAUGUGUCAAAAAACAACGUUUUAAAAACGUUGUGUAAAUGUGUCUAAUAGAUGACAUUACUGACCACCACGUUUUUGGGUGGCCUAUUACGAUGUUUUUUAAACGUUAUCUAUUUACUUUUUCUACUAGUAUAGCUAAGGUUUUGUCUUCACAGAUCCUUACAAUGUACUAGGAGUGAGUAAUUUGAUAGAGGCGACGAGAGAGACCCUGAUUUGGAGUGAUUAAGAUUCUAGUUAUGUAGAGAUUAGAUGCAGACUGAAUGAUUUCAAAGAGAAAUAGAGAGAAAGGAGGGGUUGAUUUUGGGUUAAUUAGAAUGAGAGGAUUUGGGGAAAAGAAGAGAGAUGUGUGAGAGGAAAGAUGGUUGAAACUGCAGAAUAAAAAAGGUUGAAGAAGGGGUCAUUAAAGUUUUGUUGAAGAAUUAAAAAAAAUAAAAAAUAGGCGAUUGUCAAAACGACAUAUGGAGGUGAGUAUCGGGAAGGAGGGAGUAAAAUGAAAAUGUCUCAAAUUUGUUUUUAAAAAGUCAAUAUUAAUUUUACUCUACCACCAAAUACUAUAUUGAUAUUACCUGUUGUUGGUUAUGUUCCAAAAUUUGUAAUUUUGAUAUAGUCUCAUAUCAUCUAUUUUAAAAGAUUUCUUUGUGUAUAUUAAUAUAUGUUGGCUUGGGUUUAGUAACAUGGUUGAGGAAAUAGGAAUGGGCUCGCGCACAUGAGGAUGGCUAAGGAAUUGGGCUAGGCCAAGCUCUUUGGUUCUUGGACUUUCGGUCAGAAAACCUUAGUACGCCCGCGCAGGGGGUAGGUGUCGAUUCGGUCGAUUAUGCCUCGCGGGUGCACCUAGGUAGCCACUGUUUUGCUUAAAUCCCUAAUUUUUUAUUUCUUUUUAUACUAAGCCUACCCUAAUUUUUUAUUUCUUUUUAUACUAAGCCUAAUUUAAUACCCUAGCCGUUUUUCCCCAACAUUCAUUAGCGUAAACCUUAUUUAUUACCAACGUUGUUUCCCUAACGUUCCUUUUACUGUUGAUUCUCAACGUUUUCUCACAACCUUCUUCUUCCAACGUUCUUCUUCUUCCUAUCAUAUAUAUAUAUAUAUAUAUAUAUAUAUCAUGUUAUUCUGGAUAAUCCACAAAGACAAGGCCACAGUCUCCUUCUAUGAGUACAUACGAUCGGAGACUUCGCCGUUGAAUCCUGGAGAGUGACCGCCGGCAGCCCAUUUGUACUUGUGAUUAUUAUCAAUGGGGGUAAAAUCACUUUUUAGGACAGUAGCAUUGCUACGCCUCGGUUUCCAGCUAAGUUGUUCCAAUUUACUGUAUUAUUCGUCUUGUUAAUUCUGCUUCAUAUUCCAACACCUGUUCAUCCUUUGAAUUCAUGUAUUUUUACUGAUCAUAUUCUUGUUAGGAACUAUAGUUUAUGAGUACAAACAACUCUUAUAAAAAAUUAAUUUACAAAAUGAUGUGUCAAAAUUUAAUUAGUAAAUAAUUGAUCAUACAUGGACGAGAUCAGUGAUUGUACACAUAGUCCACGGCUAGUAGGAUAUACAAAUCCCCGGCAACGGCGCCAAAAACUUGUUGGCUUGUUUCGGUGUUAACAAAACAGACACACACGUGAAAGUAUACACGAUCAACAAGUAAUAUAUGAUAAGUCAAGUAUCGUUCCCAUGGAGAAAAGCAAUUAUCUCUAAUCUAUCAUGCAACAACUUUGUAGCUAUUUCUGGCUGCUUAAACGAGUGAAUAAGAUGUGAUUUAACUAAAAAUAACAAUUAUCAACUAAUAAACUAAUUAACACACGAUUGAUUCAAAUAGGACAGAUAUAGGAUCCUAACUUUACUUACUGCAUCACCUAGAUUAUACACCUCUUGUUAAACCUAGUUAAUUACUUCGGAUUGCUAGUCAAGAGCACGAAGGUAAAACAUGGCUAUCUUUCUAUAUACCAUGCCCAAAUCACAUAAAAUCCACAAAAUAGAUAGAAUUCAUAUGAACAUCAAUAUUACCUAACUCACUAUAUUUCUAUGUGACUUACAAGUAAUAUUAAUUUAAGUGCAAACUCUCUCAAAUGACUACACAUGGUAAGCCGGUAUAUGUCUAUCUGGAUUACGAAUCACAAAAUCUAUCACAUGCAAAUUUCAUGAACACAUGCUAACAUGGCCAAAUCUGAAUUUGUACUUCCUCUUUCAAUUCCAUACAAAUUAUUAAGGUAGAUGGUGAUCAAGCAUCUAAACAAUAUACACAACCAUGCUAGGCAAUCCAUACAUAAUCAAUCAAGUGCAACAAAGAGGCAUAUAGAUCUGAAUUAAGCAAUAAGCUCCAUUAGAAUCCCAUAAUGGUGAUUAGUUCAUCUCUGAAUCAAUAACUAUUAUGGGAUUUGAUCCAAGCAUUGAGAUAAUACAAUGAAAGCAAAGAGAACUAAGAGAAUAGGAAAUUGCAAAUCUAAUAAAUCUAUGUCCAAAGUAAACCUCCAAGCUCAGUUCAAAUCCACAAUAAGCUCCAUUAGAAUCUCAUAAUGGUGAUUAGUUCAUCUCUGAAUCAAUAACAAUUAUGGGAUUUGAUUCAAGCAUUGAGAUAAUACAAUGAAAGCAAAGAGAGCUAAGAGAAUAGGAAAUUGCAAAUCUGAUAAAUCUCUGUCCUAAGUAAACCUCCAACUCAGUUCAAAUCCACGAUCAAACCAAGUUGAAACCCUAAUAGUCAAAAUCUACUAAAAACCAAAUAGAGAAGCCAAAAUAGUAAACUAUAUCUAAAAACUCUCUAGCUCUUCAAAACCCUAGAAAAGGAAAAUAAAAAUGAUUGAAUGAAUAUCUCGUAACUUGCAAAUACACCCUUUUUAGAAAAAUACGCUACAACAAAUUUUAAGUGAAAAGACAAUAUGUGAAGAAUUUUGACUGGCGCGGCCCCGUAAACCUUUUGGGGCGCGGGCGCGCUGAUCUGCAGGCCGGUCUCCUCCUGACGUGGGUGCGCCACUUUUAUUCUUCAUGUUGGCGCGGCCGCGCUAUGCUGUAUUUCUGCCUUCUGCUUGCUGGUGCAUUGUUGUCCCUUUGCUGCUGCCUUAGCCCUUCAUUUGCCUUCAAUUCCCACUGAUCAGAGGCCAUUUCACAUCCUCAUACUAUGCUCCAUCUUCAGUUCACCAUAUGCUCACCAUCUUGCCAAGUCCAUCAGUCCAUGCCCUUUCCAUGCCAUUGCUUGCCAUUUGAGUUUUCUUAAUGCAACCUAUAAAACAAAGAUAAAAAAAACAUAAGACGACACUAAAAUACUUGAGAUUAAGCCAUAAUUCUAGCAAGUUGAUAGCCAAUACGUAGGUAUAAAACCUACUUAUCAUGAUGUGAUUUCAGGCAAAGGAGGAUGCUCUGCGUGUAGUCUGGUUUAAACCCUGCUCAUUGUGCAAAAUGUAUUGUUGCAGUAAUUUAUAAAAUUAAGUGGCGCAUCAGUUUCAUUUGUGUUUGUUUCAAUUUAAUAUGUAAAGGAGUUCACGGCUGAGAUUCUUACACAAGCAUUAGCUCCUAGUUGCGUAUUAGAUUAGCUGGCUUUUGGAGUGAAUUAGCUGCAACUUUUAACAGUACAAUUUCUUCAACCUCUUGCCUUUUCAGUUUCCUUAACCAUGAAUUUAUCUUUGUUGUUUCUCUAUUCUGGUAAGUAUUUUAUAAGGACACACUAUUUUAAUUUUAUCCUUAUUUCUACAUUGUAGGUCACAAAACUUUUAUGCAUCAACUUGUUUGGUACCGUUCUAUGUCAAGGCGCUGCUGCAGAAAUUAGAUGGAUGUAUUCAGCUCAGCAGUUGCUUAUUGUGGCCUUGUGGGAUUGUAAUAUACGAUAGUUGGUAAUGCCUUGACCCUUGGGUAAUUCUUGCUUGGUAGAUAUCCCUAAAAUCAAAUUCUCUCUACUGAAUUGCAUAUCAAAAUUUUAGACAUUGAUUUUAUUACCUUACAUGAAAAAAAGAAAAAAAAAGGGUAAUCUGCAAUCCAAUUUACUCUGAACAUAUUUCUGUUACAAUUGUAUUUUGUCGUCUUAUAAUUUACAAGAAAACCAUCAUCAGUUUGCUUGUUAGAGGAGCAGCCAUUUAUGUUUAUCAUCCUACAAUGUAACCUUGGGUAGUUGUUGAUAUAUUCAGUUUUCUUCUGAUAUAAAGUUGAGUUGGAAUGAUUUUUAGUAAACCUAGUCCUGGAGAGCCAUGUCACACAUGGCGAUGAGAAGGUGGCGAAACCCGUGUUUGAAAUUUAGCUGAAUUUUUUUUUAAUUAUUAUUAUUAUUACUACUUAUUUUGAUUGAUCGGUGUAUUUUUUAGUUUGUGAAUUAUUGUUUUUAAGUUGGUAUGUGUUUUUAGUAAUUUUAUUGGAUCUGAAUGAUGAGGAAUCCAUGCUGGUUUAUAUGCAAAUACAGUAUUUCUGCUUCCUUUUCAAUGAUUGAGGUGUAUUUUUAGGAAUACCCACACAAGAAAAAAAGAAGAAAAAUAAACUUAUAAAAAUGGGAGGUUUUUGGUCACUAACAGGAGCUAAUAUUGCCUUGGUAGGUCAGCUUUUGUUAGUACUAUAAUUAAUUCAUUGGUUCAUCUACUCGUGGUUAAUAUAAUUAAUUCAUUUGAGGUAAUAUAAUUAAUUCAUUGGUUCAUCUACUCGUGGUUAAUAUGUUCUCUUUUUGUUGUUAAGUAUGACCACCUUGAAGUAGUUAAUUCUCUAGUGAUGUAGCUUGGAUUCUAAUCACUCAAUUAUUGAAUGGGAUUUAUUACUUUCCAUUGUUACAGAACCUAAUUAGCCUCUUUAUUGAAGUGUCAGUUAGAUGUGCAUGCUACAGUGAAAAUAAAAUUCAUAUGGUGUUGAUUGAUUUUGAGGUAUUCCUUCGAGUAUGGGCUAUUUAAAUAGCUAGUUUUGUCUAAUUUAGCUUUAGCUGGUUGAGCUGGUAAGAUUUUUCUAUUGCUUAGUCUACAAGUAUGGCAGAUAGCCAGAUAAUGGCAUCUGUCAGAUUACUUAGUCUCUGCCUAUAUUUUGAUUCUAAGUUCUUGUGGUAUUCUGUUCAUAAUUCACUUGUUGGCCUUUCUUACUUGUAGGCACGCUAUUUACAGUUUCGAAAGUGGCCUGUUGAGUGGGGUUGGUGCCGGGACCUCCAGUCAUUCACUUUUAUUUUUGAAAGACAUAACAAGUGUAUAUGAGGUGAUCCAUUUGUUAUAAGGAAAAGACUUGUAUUUUCAGAAAAGUCGAUCUUAUAUUUUCAGAAAAGUUCAUUUGAAUGCGUGUUUGUUUAUGCUGAAAAUAUGUUUGAACUACUCUUUGUUGAUAUUGUCUAAGCUCAUCCAUAUCAUUGCAGAAUUAUAGCUUAACAUUCUUUCUGUGUUUUCUGUAUUCAGUGGUCGGUAUGCUGAUUUUUUCAAGACAACUAACCUCCUGCAAUUUUGGCGUUUAUGCAAUGGACUGCAUAUUUAUGGAGCACCUUUCUGUGCUUCUCUUUUGCUAAAUUAAAUCUGGUUUGACAGGAAACUUAAUGUUUUUUUCUUCCAAUGAAAAAACACCACUGCCAGGAAACUACUAGCUAGAUGAUUUGGGGUAUGCCAUCAGCAUCAACAUUAAAAAUUUUGAACACUUGAACCUCAUUAGACAUUUUUGAAUGAUCCUUAGUGCCAUCUCAGAAAGCAUAAUUCUGCGGGCUUUUAAAUUUCAGCUUCCUGUAGAACAAGGAGGUGGUGAGGGCAAAGCAAUGUACAUUGAUGCUGAGGGAACAUUCAGGCCACAGCGGCUCUUACAGAUAGUAGACAGGUGUUGCGCUGCUACCUUGACACAAAUUGUUGUUACAAGUCUGUUGCACCACAUCUUAAUUUUAUGGAUAGUUUGGUAUAUUAUGUGGAUGUAGUCAAAUUCACAAUUCAAUGUACGUAGUAGUAAUUAUAUUGAAAAGUGAAUUUGAAAUUGUAAACAUAGAAUGCUUACAUUUUAGAAUUUAGAUCUUUUUUAGCUAUAUAUCAUGGCAUUAGUUUUUCUUGUUUGGUACUGCACAACAUUGUAGGUAAUGUGUAGUAAUUAUAUAUGUGUAUGUAUUAUAUCUUAUGAAAAAUAAAUAGACAACUUUUUUUAGAAAAAAAAUAUUGUGUAAUGUGUCAAAGAUGCCGCUUUUUAGAAAAAAAAAAAGUUAUGUAAUUUGUCAAAUAGAUAAUGCUUUUUUUUUUAAAAACGUUGUGGAAUGUGUUAAAUGUUGUGUAAUGUGUCAAAUAGACAACUAAAAAGCGUUGUCUAAUGUGUCAAAAGACAACGUUUUAAAAAACGUUGUGUAAAUAUGUUUAAUAGAUGACAUUGCUGACCACGACGUUUUUGGGGGCCUAUUACAACGUUUUUUAAACUUUAUCUAUUUACUUUUUUCUACUAGUGUAGCUAAGGUUUUGUCUUCACAUAUCCUUACAAUGUACUAGGAGUGAGUAAUUUGAAGUGAUUAAGAUUCUAGUUAUGUAGAGAUUAGAUGUAGACUGAAUGAUUUCAAAGAGAAAUAGAGAGGAAGGAGGGGUUGAUUUUGGGUUAAUUAGAAUGAGAGGAUUUGGGGAAAAGAAGAGAGAUAAUUGAAACUGCAGAAUAGAAAAGGUUGAAGAAGGGGCCAUUAAAGUUUUGGCAAAGAAUAAAAAAAAAUGGCCGUCAAAACGACAUACGGGGAAAAGAAUAAAAAAAUAGACGGUUGUCAAAACGACAUACGGAGGUAAGCAUCGGGAAGGAGGGAGUAAAAUGAAAAUGUCUCAAAUUUAUUUUUAAAAAGUCAAUAUUAAUUUUACUCUACCACCAAACACUAUAUUGAUAUUACCUGUUCAUCCUUUGAAUUCAUGUACUUUUACUGAUCAUGUUCUUGUUAGGAACUAUAGUUUACGAGUACAAACAACUCUUAUAAAAAAUUAAUUUAGAAAAUGAUGUGUCAAAAUUUAAUUAGUAAAUAAUUGAUCAUACAUGGACGAGAUCAGUCAUUGUAACUGACCAAAGUCAUACACAUUAUUUUGUAUCUUCUUUUUAUAACAAUUCUUUAGUUAUUGAAACCAAAAUUUGACUUCUUGUUAUGAACUAAUUAACUACUAUGGGAUAUUGUAAAUUAUUACUUAAUUAGUAUCUUAAUUAAGUUAAUUAAUUAGUUCCUUGUUGUUGUAUUAAGUACAACACAGUACAAGGUACAGCAAUACAAGCUGGUAUUAGUUUAUGAGAUUUUGACAUUACUAGUAGUGCUUGUUUUGUGAUGUUGAAAUUUUAGCAAAGAAAUUCGUUAAAUUAAUUUUAGAUAUACUCCUACUACUUGUUAAGUUUUUUUUUUUUUCUUUCAAAAUAUAUGACAUUUUUCAAUGCUCUUUCUAUUUCCUUCAUCAUGUAUAUCCUUGCAAUUAUCUAUUCUUCUUUCUCUUUUCUUUUUCUUCUUAUCUCUCCUUCCAUAUGCAUGUAACUCUCUUUUAAUUAUCAUCAGUAAGGAGUUUGCAUUCAUGGUGGAAGUAAUUUUAUAUUUUUUUCAUAAUAAUUUAUCUAAAACUCAAAGGAAUAACUUUUUAUAACGAAAAUUAAUGAUUGGAAAAAAAUGAAAAAGGAAAAAACCUUGGAUGAGAUCUAGAAAUGAAAAUUUGAAGGUGAAAAUAGGGGGAAAAAAAGAGAGAUGACAUAUAUAAAUUAGGGGUAAAAUUCAGAUGACCACCUCUAGUAUCUGACAUUUCCCACAUAACCACCUAUAUUACGUAAACCUACAUUUAAACACUAGUGGUUUUGAGUUGAAGUGAAAAACAGCUUUCCGUCUAGACGUCCUUAAUGGGAAUGGAUAAUGACUUUUUUGCCCCUUGAUAUAUAUAUUGAAAAUGACCUAAAAUGUGGUCAAUUGUGUAGACGGGUCUAGGGCUUGCAAUUGAGGCAAUUUUCUGGCGAUUUCUUCACGAAUGCUUCAAAUCUAAGUGGAAACCAAAGCCUUUUAUGGUGUUUGUGGAAGAAAUUGUAUCUGGAAGCUAAUAUUUUACUGUAGAUCGAGGUAAGUAUUAACUAUUCGAUUCGAUUUGAUGUUUACUGCUAUUUAAGUGUUAUGUACUAUGUUGUGUGAGUUUAUCUUACUUUUGGUCUGAUUUGGGAUGGCUUUUCAAGAAUAAAUAUUGUUGUGUUGGGGUCCCUCUGAUUUGUGAUGUUUUCUGAUAGAUUUAUUUUGUACAAUAAUAUGCCCCCACUUGUUUGGUCCCCUCUGUGUAUAUGGAUUUGGUGGUGUUUGAUGGAAUAUUUUAUGCUUUAGUGGCAUGCAUGCUAGACUUUGAUUUGUUUUUUUUAGUAUUGGUGGUCCCCCCUGUCUCCCAAACAUGUUUUGUUUCUUAUCCAAAAUUUUCUCCCUCAUAUGUUUAAUGCAGAAUGUCUGUGAGAGUUGUGUUCCAUUAUGGUGGGACUUUUGUUAAAGAACCAAUUAUUGAUUAUGUUGGGGGUAGUGUUGAGAUUAUAGAGAAUGUAGAGUUGGAUAAGAUAUUUUUGAUGGGGAUACAUGAGUUCCACUUUCAGUUAAAUCCAAUCCCACAUGUGAACAUUUAUUAUCUUGUACCUGGUUAUGAGUUAUGGGAGGGUGGGACUUUAAUUCUAAGUGAUGACACAGAUGUAUGUGAGAUGGUAGACGUACUAGUUAAUAAUGAGAGUGAAGAGGUAGUUUUAUAUGCAGAACAAAUGGAGGGUCCAAUACAAGUUGUAGGUAAAGGGAAUGAAUCUGAAAAGGGUAAAGGGAAGGAAUCUGAAAAGGUAAAUAAAUAUAGAGAACAACCUAUGAAAAGAAAUGAAAAUAGGGGUGGAGAGGCAGACCAUCCCUCUUGGAUGGAUGAAGAUCUAGAGGGGCCUGGGGAUGAUGACAUAUUUAAAGAAGGGAAAAAAAAUAGAUUUUGAUAACUCCAAAGAUGUCUUUGUAGAAGAUUGGUGGAGUGAUGAUGAGGGAGAAGGGAAAGAGGCAUUAAGAAAGAAGUUUGUUUUAUCUGAUGAUGAGGACAACUUAGAAAGGGAUGGGUCUAUAAAAUUUAAUGAGGACACUGAUAUGGGUAACAUAGAAUUUGAGGUUGGAAUGAAGUUUACAAAUCAUGAAAUUUUUAGGAAUGCUUUGGUUGAGUUUUCUGUAAAAGGGGGGUUUGACAUUAAAUACAUUCAAAAUGAUAAGAAAAGAAUAACUGUCAAAUGUAAAUCAAAAAAUUGUUCUUGGAGGAUUCAUGCAUCAGUUAAACAAGGUGAAGUAACUUUCAAAAUCAAAUCAAUGGGGGGGGGAUCACACAUGUGCUGGACAAGAGAAAAACCAUCUUGUUGACAGUAGGUAUUUGGCCAAAAAAUACUUGAAUGACUUGAGAGAUAAUCCUAAGUGGGAUUUGAAAGCAUGGCAGAAGAAGGCACAAAAGGAAUGUCAUUCCAGUCUUAGUAAAUCAUCCCUAUAUAGGGCUAAAAGAAAAGCUUUACAUUAUAUAUCUGGUGAUGUAGGAGAACAGUACAACAAACUUAUGGAUUAUAUUGAGAUAGUUAAAAAACUAAAUCCUGUGACAGUUUUCAAAUUCUGCAGUCAGUGUGUUGAGGGGCCUGGUUCUCUUCCAGUAUUUAAGAGACUGUAUAUGAGGCUGUUAGCAUGUAAACAUGCUUUCCUUGUUGGGUGUAGACCAAUAUUAGGUUUGGAUGGAUGUUUCCUAAAGGGGAUAUAUGGAGGGCGGAUGUUAAGUGCUAUAGGAAGAGAUGCAAAUGAUAAUAUUUUUCCCAUUGCCAUUGCUAUAGUUGAAAUAGAAUGUAGGGACAGUUGGCAGUGGUUUCUCACAGAACUGUUAGAUGACAUUGGUGAAAAUGAAACAAGAAGAUAUGUGUUUAUUUUUGAUAGACAGAAGGGGCUUGUAGAGGUUUUUAAUUCAAUGUUACCCAAUAAUGAACAUAGAUUUUGUUUGAAGCAUUUAUACAACAAUUUCAAAAUCAAAUUUAGGGGGAAGCUGUUGAGGGAUAUUUUCUGGAAUGCAGCUAGUUGUGGUGAUAUGUAUACAUUUGAAGCAGCUAUGAAGGAAAUGCACAAAGUUGAUCCUGAGGCAGUGAAGUGGUUGAUGGCUGUUGGGCCCAAAUAUUGGGCCAGAUCUCAUUUUUCACCCCAUUGUAGGUCUGAUGUAGUUGUAAACAACUUGAAUGAGUCAUGGAAUAAUUAUAUCAUUGAGGCAAGGGAUAAAGGGAUUAUUAACAUGCUAGAGUGGAUUAGGAAGAAAUUAAUGGUUAGGUUUCAGAUUAAAAAGGAGGGCAUGGACAAGUAUGGAGGGUCAAUUGGGCCAAGAAUACAAAAAAAAAUUAGAGAUCAAUAAGAAACAUUUUAGGGGAUGCACUGCAUUGAAGUCUGGAAUUGGGGAGUUUGAGGUUGAAAGUGACGACAAAACUUGGGUUGUCAAUUUGAAUGAAAAAACUUGUGGGUGCAGAAUGUGGCAGCUUAGUGGCAUUCCUUGCAAACAUGGAGUGACGACAAUCUGGGGUAAUAGGGAGCAGCCAGAGGCUUAUUUCCAUCCUUGCUAUAGCAAGGAAGCGUACUUAAGCACCUACAACUUUACCAUAAAGUCUGUUCCUAGUCAUCAUGAAUGGGUGCAAUCUAAAUUUCCAAAGAUUCAACCUCCAUUGUACCAUAAACCCACUGGCAGACCAAGAAAAGUAAGGAAAAAGGCACAAGAUGAACCAAAAAACCCUCACCUAGCAAGUAGAAGAGGUGGCACUGUAACAUGUGCAAGAUGUUUGACACUUGGGCAUAACAGCAGGGCUUGUAGGCAGCUAUUUCAUCCAAACUCCAAACUGAAGGUAUGUAUUUACAUUAUAUAUAGCUGAUAUAAUUAUGACUUUUUAAUCUGAAGCUAACAGGUUUGUAUUUGUAGGGGAAAAGCAGACCAACAGGUGAAACAACAGCUGCAAAGGAUUGGCAGUCAAAUGUUGGGGAAUCAUCUUCCCAUGUAACAGUUGAAAAUGAUGGUCCUAGGUUUAAAAUGCAAUGUUGAAUAAGCUAACAUAUUUGUUUGUAUCUUUCAGGCAAAAAUCAGACCACCAAAGUUGCAAAGUAAGGGGAAGGGUGCUAAUCCUGGACCUAAUUCUUCAACCUCAGAACAGCCCAAAUCAAGCUCUCAACCUAACUAGUCCACCAAGUGGACUAAUCCUGGACCAAGUUUGUCUGCAUGUUGCACUGGGGCUACUGAUCAACCAAGGUCAAGUUCACAGCCUAAUCCUGGACGAAGAAUGAAGAGCAUACCAAAAUUGAAGAAGCUUUUAUCAAAGGGCUGCAUUAUUAGUUCACCAAAAAAGGCAGGAAGGGGGGGGAUUAAGGCUCUGAUUUUGCCUUGGACUUAGUCUAGACUAAUAUGUAAUUAUAUUUUGGCACAGUUACAUGGAUGUUAGUUUUAGUUGCCUUGUUGGUAGUUUUUCGUAAACUUGAAUGGGCAGUGUAUAUUUUUGGCACCAGUGGUCAUCUACUUUGGUUAUCUGCUUUGGCACCACUAGAGUUAGCUGCUCACAAGGAACAUAUUUGUGUAUUUUUGAGAUAGGAACAGAUUUGUGUAUUUGAAAGUUUUGGCAAUGAUGACAAGUGAAUUGAUAUUUAUUGUGAUUUCCUUCUACACAACUGCUUGUUCUCGUUAGAUUGCUCAUCUUUUUUUGUGCAACAUAACUCCAAUAUAACAUGAACAACAAUAAUACUCCAACAUAACAUGAACAACAUAUUGCAGAUUAUAACUCCAGACCAAAAUAAAAACAAUUCAACUUUGAAAAAAAAUUCAACACAACUCCAAGAAUAAAAACUUACAUUUCAUUAAAUUUAGAACAUUAAAUAUUCCAUUACACUAACAUAUUUCAUUUCAUACUACUAAAAAACAUUAAAAACUUUCAUUACAUAUUUCAUUACACAUUAAAACCCUCACAUUACAAACUUUCACUUCAUACUACUAAAGAACAUCAGCAUGAAUGACAGGAGAAGAAAAACAACUCCAAUUAUCAUUAUUAUCUUCACAUGGCUUUCAACAAGCAUCAUCCUCAUAUGUAGAUUAUUCUUCUCACACAGACACUUGCAUGUUGUUCCCCUCACCACUGUUGUCCCCAUUCCUUCAUUGUGUUCAUUAGUAUCAGUAAGUGUACCACUUGAGUUUGUUGUAGAAGGCAAGCACCAUGCCCAAAAUUCACAUUCAUCACAUACAAAAUACAAUUUUCCCUUCGAUGGUUUGUUCGAGUCGACAAUUCUUACAGAAGCCUUCUUUCCACAUUUACAUUUCCUAGGUAUGUAUCGAAGGUCACCAUUAUUCCAUCCUACAUGAUUGCUUGACGAAGACAUGCCUCCUACUUCACAUAAACAUCAGCAAAAUCUUUAAUCAGCAAUUUAAAGCAUAAUAUUUACAUACUAACAUGCACAUAAAGCAAAUGUAUACAAGAUGUUACUUCAACAUUUUCACAAACACCUUCUGGGCGGCCAAAUUUGUAGUAACUUCAGCCCAAAUCUUGCUAACAAAUUACACAACUAAGAAAUCUAAUGAACAAUGUAUAACACUGUAUAACGAGUCAUACUCAUCUUGCUAACAAAUUACACAACUAAGAAAUCUAAGAAAGUCGAUUUGGGUAAAUUCGUUCUUCGAUAUACUCAUUAGAUUUCAAAGAAGCUAAAUAUACAUACCUGAGUUUUGAGUAAGACAAUUAAUAACCUUGAUGAAGACACUGAUAAUCCCUGGGACUGAGACAGAGCUGCUAAGGGACAAGUUAGGGCAUAAAUAGCCAACAAAAUGGCUCUUUAAUAACCAUGGUUGAAGAUGAGGGUAUUAUCGACUUUUUCCUAGCUCAUUUGACUGUUACACUCAUACCUCACGCUCUUUUAGCGAGUACACUUCACGCACAGUUAGAUUAGAUGGAAACUGUCUGUUUUUCAUUUCAACUCAAAACCACGAGUGUUUAAAUGUAGAUUUACGUAAUACAGAUGGUUAUGUGGGAAAUGUCAGAUACUAUAGGUGGUCAUCUGAAUUUUACCCUAUAAAUUAGGGAGAAGGGAGAGAGAGAGAGAGAGAGAAAAUGAGUGAGUAGACAUGAAAGGGUGUUUUGAGUAUUUAAUAAUAAUUUUAGUAAGGAGUAAUUAGGUUUCGGAAUCAUUUUGCGGAGGAUUGGAAUGACGACCGAAGCAGUUCAGGCUUGCUGAAAACAUUCAAUCCCAACGGUGUAAUGUUCAGCUCUUUCUACAGGGACUGAGAGAUUCAAAUAUUGCUGCAGAUGUCAGUAAUUUCUGAAAUCUCAUACAAAUCCCUUUUGUCAAAUCAUGAUGCUCAGUUUUCUAUACAAGAAUUUGCUUAAAAACACUGCUACUGCUUCUUUAAAAUCACCCCAAUUCUGUAUUUUGAAUCAGAGAUGUUUCUUCGGAUCUGAAAUUAGUGAGAGACGAAGGGAAUCAAUUUUCUCCCUCUUCAAAAUCUAUGGCUUCUCUGAAAUCCAAAUCUCCAACCUCAUAAGAAAAAGGCCAAUACUGCUAUCUUCCCAUCCAGACAAAAUACUAAAACCCAAAUUAGAUUUCUUCAAUUCAUAUGGGUUUUCACCCUCUGACCUUGAUAAAAUACUCACUACGGACCCCGGUAUCAUGAAUAGAAGUCUUGAUAGUCAAAUUAUACCUUCGUGUGAGUUGUUGAAGAGUGUACUUGGGGAUAAUGGGAGUGUAAUUGCUGUAAUAAAGAGGCACACUCCGGUACUCAAGCAAGACCUUAAAAAAAGAUUAGCACCCAAUAUUGCUGUAUUGCGCGAUUAUGGCGUGUUGGAUGAAAGGAUUAGCACAACGCUAAAGAGACAUCCUAGGACAUUGGUGCAAGCUCCUGAUAGAUUUAUAUUGCUGGUUGAAGAGAUUAAGGGAAUGGGUUUUGAACCGGUAAAGAGUCAUUUUAUUGUGGGAUUAGAGGUAUUGGCUGGGUUGAGCAAAUCAAUGUUUAAGCGAAAGUGGGAUCUUUAUAGGAAGUGGGGUUGGUCAGAUGAUGAGAUUCUUUCGGCUUUUAGGAGGCAACCCCAAUGUAUGUCACUUUCGGAGGAGAAGUUGGAGCGGGUGAUGGUUUUUUUGGUUAACAGAAUGGGAUGGGAUGCAUCAAAGGUUGCAUCUUGUCCAUCUGUUGUUACUUAUAGUUUGGACAAGCGGACUAUUCCGCGGUGUUUGGUUGUUCAGUUUUUGUUGUCUAAGGGUGUGAUAAAGAAGGACUUAACCUUGAGUUCAUUCAUGAAUAAGUUGGAGAAACAAUUCUUAGAAAAGUUUGUGGUAAAAUAUUGUGCAGAAUUCCCUGAAGUUCUUGAUUUGUAUGGAAGGAUAGUGGAUGAUAUACAGAAGUUGCAGGUUAGCUGACUUUCCACCUGGGGGGAAAGAUUCUUUUGCCUCUUACAUUAUUAAGAAAUAGAAAUUUAGUAUCUGAUGAUGCAAACCAUUGCUUAGUGUUGGAUGGAUCAAGUUUUGUUGACUAGUAUCAGAAGAGUUCAGUAAGUCAAAAAGUAAAAGAAUUACCAAUGAUGGUUUGUAUAUUUGGAAGUAGUUCUUAAUUUUAUGGUGGAGAAGCAGACUAUUAUCCCCUACUUAGCAAUUCAAAGGUUUUAACAAAGAACUCUAGAUUGGUUUUUUGCUUGUAUAAAGUGGGCUUCUUCUUGAGCUACCAACCAUCUGAUCAAGGAUUUGCAAAUUGAAACCAAUGAUUUUGUUCCGGCGGGAGGUGGAUUAUAUUGUCUCAAGCCUUAGCUCAACGAAACCAAACAGUUGGUAGGUAUAAUGGUGUUGAAGAAUGUUAACCUAUUGUUUAAGCACAUACUUUUCUUAUUUGCUAGUUUAUCCCUUGUAUUUUUUUCCUUCUAAUAUUUAUAGACGAUUGAUGAAACUCUUUUUACAUGCUUAUACAUUGAUUGGAUGGCAAUUUAUUUUCAUCUGGUUUUAGUAUAAUGUACGGCUUACAAAGUUCAAAUACUUUGGUUGAUGCUUAAACAUUUUCUUAAUUGACACUUGAUCACUUGGAAAAUUUGCUCUCUUAUAUUUAUGUUUUUCCACAUGUACCAUUACUACAUUUUGUUUUACCUAGUUAUAAAUGUAUUUUGUGGAACUUCUUGGUGUAAACUGUUAAUUUCGUUUUAUUUUUUAUUUGGGGCGAGGAGGGUGAUAUCUACUACUUUAAUUUUUUGGAAAGAAAUUAUGGAUAGAAGACAGGUGGACGGUGGUACUUGAAAAAGAUGAGAAAAGUAAUAUGCCCAAAGAAAAAAAAGUGAAAAUCAAAAAUAAAAAACAAUUUUAAAAGCCUGCAGCACUUUAUUCUUAUUGAGAUAAUCUGAAACUAAAUUCCCCAAAAUGACUAUUCUUUAUGCUGAAGAACACCUCCAAAUCCUCUUUUCACUUGCUAUUGCUAACCCAGAGUAGUUUAUAAGUAAAGAGCGUCAAGUAACUACUUGAAAACAUUGACAAAUAGGAGCUUCAUGUAACAUUUUAUCGUAGUUUAUGUUGUAACAGAAAUUAUGCUAAGGUUAGAUAAGGUGUUUCUCCUUGAUGGGGUCCUCCUAACUUAGAUCCAGUCUUCAGUCUUGCGGUCUAAGAGAAGGGUUAGAAAGACCCUCGUCCUUAGAAAGCCUCAGAGGUCUUAGUGUCAGUACAACUCCAGAACUCCUUGGAAUGGUUGAGACUUGAGAGAGUCUUUCUCUCUCUAAAGUUUAAGCUAGUAUCUUGUAGAAUGAAUAAUAGUUAUGAUAAUGGUUAGAGGGGUCUCUCAUAUUUAUAAGGAGGAAUAUUUGGUAAUUACCCUUAUUCCCUUAAUGUGCAACUGCAAGGAAGGUCUGAAUUGUCCUGUGAAAUGACUGUAAUACCACCAUUGGUGUGAGGCCACAUAUCAUCUUCUAGCUGAUUUUAUUUUUACAUCCUCACAAUUUAUAUAAGGUUCGGAUAUGAAAAUUAUGAGACAAGUCGGAUUUAGUUGUCAAUUGUCCAUGACUACAUAUUCAAGCCAUAGCAUUUAUACUUCACGUGGUCAUUAGUCAUGGUUUAUUAUGAGGUGCAACUAGCUUACGUUAUUUAGGAUUAGUGAUAUAGGAGAAAGUAACAUGGGUUUAGGCUCGUCGACACCUACGAGGUAGAACCGUAGAAGAACAAUUUUAAAACUCUCCUACACCAAAGAGGAAUUACAAUUUCUAACCUCUCCUACACCAAAUAAAAAAGUCUAACUAUGGGAUAAAUAUAUAAUUUCUAAUUCGCUCUUACUUAAGUGUGUACCAAAGUUAUAAGAUAUUCUCAUUGAUCCAGUGAAUCACGUAUUAGUAUUUGCGUUCCUAAACAUUGUACUCUUACAUACUAAUACUUCAAAUUUUAGCGUUCCUAAAUAUUUAUUUGUAAUUUACCAUUAAUUAAUUGAACAACUACCAAUAUUUUGAUUUGGUUAUUGAUGCUCAAAAAAUCACAUUUUUACUAAAUUAUUUCUAGAACAUUCAUCUUGUUAUGUAACUAAAAAUCUUCCAUGAAAUUCAGCUUUAUUGCAUUUAGAUUCUAGGAAUGUUCCUGAUUAUAAGCAUCUAUACUGAAGCUACAUUUUGGAAUCAUGAUGAGCUGAGAAAUCAUAUGGAACCAUGAUAAAAGCUGAUGGACUUGGUAUCAAGCUUGUGGUAACUUCUUUGGUAUCAAGAGUUUGUUCCAUUCUUCCAUGAAAAAGUUGUUCAUAUUAUUUAAUCAUCAGACAAAUUGAAAGAAAAGAUGAUGGUGACUUAAUUUUAAUCAGACUUUUCUUUUUUCUGUAGAAUAUUUAUUCCUACUGCUGUUUCUUUAGGUGUUGACAGUGUUUUUCUGCCGGCAAUUUUUAGUAUACUACCUUUAAUUUCCCCAUGAAUGUUGAAAUUGCCAAUUAAUCUCGUCGUGUAAAAUUUUGUUCUAAAAUUGGUUGAAAGUUUUGGGUUAUGAAGGUUGUCAUUGUUUUAGGCUAAUUGGUGUUUUAGUUACUGUAUUAGGAGUCGAUUUUCAUUUAGUUUAGUAAUUUUAAUUGCACUUGUAAUCCGUUGAUUUUGAAAUUUGGGAGGAAAUUUAUAUUUAUCCACCAUCAAAUUCCUAAUUUUAACCUCAAAUCUAGUUGGCGAAAAAUGAUAAAAUGAUUAAUAAUUUUCAUUUAUCCACCGUGAAAUUCCUAAUUUAAAAGUGUAUUAAAUUUAGGACGUAUUUUUGUUUUAUAUUUAUAACUAAAUAUAUCAAGCUAUUAGUUCAGUAGUGAUAAUAUGAUAAUAUAAUUAUACUGACAAAAUUAUGAACAUAAAUAAUAAUUCUAUAAAUGAAAAAUGACUUUUUUGUGAAAUAAAAAAAAUUAUAAACUAGACUUUUUUGGAACAAGGGAAUAUAAUUUUCAGACGAAUGGUUACAAAUAAAAUGGUAGAUACUUCAUGGACCCUUUUAUAAAUCUUGGGUAUUAUAGAAUAAAUUUUGUAAUUUACCCUUUAAUUUAAUUAUUAUUUUUUUAUUCACUCAUAAUUUCAUUUCUCUAUUACUUACUAAAUCUCGAAAGGCUGACAGACCUGGCAAAAUCGGCCCAGGCCUGCGGGCCGAGCCAGCCCGCCCGUUAAAAAGUGAGUUAUGGGCUUCAUUUUUUCAACCCAUUAAAAUCUGGGCCUUUUUGGCCCGACCCAAUGACAACCCGCCCGUGGGCGCUCGACCCGUCCAGUCAUUUUAAAAAACCCUUAUUCUGAUUUCUGGCUUCUGGGCUAAGUGGCUACUGAGUAGUGAGUACCAGCUAAGUGGUUAACCCUUAUGGCCUUACCCUUACGCCUUAUGCCCUUAUUCUAGAUUUCAAUUUUCAGAUCUGAGAAAGUGAGAAGUGAGAGACAGACCGAGAGGGCGACAGUCGAGAUCGGAGACGACUCAGACGAGACUCCUCAAGUUCAAGUGUUCAACAGAGAGAGUGUGAGACAACAAAUCAACGAUCCACACUUCGAUCGAUCUCCCGUGCCGAGUCGCCGACUGACGAGUCACGACUCACGAGUGACGUCUGUGUUACUGUGCAGCUUCUUCUUCGGUUCUUCCCUACAGGUAGCUUCUUCUUCUCUACACUUCGAUCGAUCGACACUGCUAUGUUCUGUUUUUGUUUUUACUUUUUAGUUUGUUUCUGGCUUUCUGCUACACUUCUGUUUUUGUUUUCAGUUUAUUUUCACUUUUCAGUUUGUUUUCAGUUUGGGGUUACUAAAUUUCUUCAAUUUUGGUAAAACCCUGCAAUUUCGGCAAAAGAAGAGAAGCAAUUUCUGCAAUUUCUUUUGUUGGGGUUACUAAAUUUUUUCAAUUUUGGUAAAAGCCUGCAAUUUCGGGUUGAUAGAGAUAUCCGAGCAGGCCAGAUUUGAGAGUGUAUGCUAUUAUUUCUUGAUGAAACCAUGUCGAGGGUUUGUUGAAGUGUAUGUAUGUACGUUUAGACAGAAGUGACUGAAAAUAUUACCAAAGCUUUGUUCAAAAUUGUGUUCUUUCCUAUAUAGUAGUUUUACAAUGGCUUUAGCUCUUAAUUACCUUACCUGUAGUAAUACCCAGUUUUACGAUCCUCCUCAUGCCAGUUCUUAGGUUCUUUUACAAUGGUGAAUGAGUUAAUUCCAACAUUUUGCAAAUAAUUUUUUUAUACCAACUGAUCUACCAUGAAUAGAGGAGUUGGUAUACUGUACGUACUAGAAACUCCUCUCUGUGAAAUUUGAUACUUGGGAGAUAACGGACACUUGUCCAUAUUAUAUUUAAGUCUAUGAUUUCUUACUUUAUUUAGAUAAUAUAGAUAUGGAUGGAUGGGAACAGAAUGCAUGCAAGGCAAGCAAAUAAGAGACGAGAUCUGCCAACUAAUUUGAGCAUAUGCAGACAUGCAGUAGUAAUUUGUUUUGUUUCCAGGUAUGAGGGAGGAGAAGAAAGUGAUGGAUCAUAUUCAUAUAUGAUAUGAUAUGAUAUGGUUAGCUGAACCUGUCUGCCUGACCAUAACCAGUUAAAUGACAUUGUAUUACCCUGUUUACCCUGUUUAUCUAUAAAGUGAAACAUGAUGAGUUAAUGAUCAAGCAACCAUGUAUUUACUCUUGAUCAUCAUUGUGCAGGUACUAAUCAUGGAUAGAAUUACUGUGAAAGUCAUGUCUUGCUCUUGCAAAAUGGCAGAUAUAACAGAUGAAGGACUUAUGUUUUGUUAUGUCAACAGUCAAAUGAAAUGAAUAGUUUUUGUUUGAAUUUGUAAUUAUGUAUUUGGAUUUUGGAGCUUAUUUCUGUAAUUCUGUAUUUGCAUUUGGAUGAUACUUGUUGUAAUUGCUGCAAAGCUUGUUGUAUUUGGAUUAUUUUUUGUUUGAUUUUUUUGUGAUUUACAGAUAUUUUUUUUUAAAAAUAAAUAAAUGAAAAGGCCCAUGGGCCGGGCCGGCCCAACCCGGGCCAUGGGCCGCUUAGUUUCAGCCCACUAAAAUCCGAGGGCCCGGCCCGUUAGUGGCCUGCCUGCUGACGGCCCGGCCUGUUUGGGCCAACCCGGCCCGUUUGCCAGGUCUACAGGCUGAGUACAAGUUUCUCAGUAACAAUUCCAUUUGGAAUUACACUAGGCUUGGCCUUGUCCAAAACGUCCCGAGCUCAUUGAUCACUGUUGGGCUGCUAAAUGCGCCGUCGGCCGACCUUUUGAUCUACAUGGCUUUGGUAUGGGCCUAAAGUUUCAAGGCAGCAUCAAGCUCCAAAUUAAAUCUUGGAACAAUUACAUAUUCUAAUACAUUUUUAAAAAUAAUUACAUCAAUAGUGCACUCAUAUAAUAUUUACAAUUUAAUGCAUUUAAUGUUUUUAUUUACAUUAAAAGUGCAUUCUUAUCCUUUUAAUUUAGUUGAGUGUUUUAAUAAGUUACAAUUUAACACUUUCUCUCUCCUCCCUUCAUCAUCCACACACCCCCGCCCCCCUCCAUCUCUUUAAUUUUCUCUCCCCUUCUCCACUUAUCACUCCUAAUGGCCGACAUUCACAACAACAACAACUCUGUCUUCUCUUCGUCCAACAAGAAGAGAUCAUUAACUUUUAAUUCCGAUGAAUUUUCUCUUGAUAGUGUACAGUCAGAAUGCGAGCAACCCACCAAGUCCGACGUCCAUGUCUGAAGAUGGAAAUGAUGAUGAAGUAAGAUGUGCUGGGUCUUGGGCUACAACAUUGAUCUCUGAGCUCUCUCAUGUCAAAAAGGAAAAGAACAUUGGCAGUCCAAGAAAGGGUGACAAAUCAAUUUAUUCACAGAUCAAACCUCAAAAAAAAUGCAGCGCAUCGUGAAGUGACUUUUUGUCCUUGUUGAGGCGGAGUUUGUCAUCUUUUUUUUUUCCAUAAUGUUGGUAGCCAAACCUUUAUAUAAAGGUAGCCAAUUUAAUUUUAUUGGGUUACCAAUUAAUUAGUGCAUUCUUAUCCCUUUAAUAUCAAACUCUUUUAACCUUCAUACAACAGCUUCUGAGGCUUUUUUGCAAAAAACAAGUGGGCUUUGUAAAGAGUUUGAUAUUUUCAGUCGUCUAAAAGGUAGGCUUUGUUUGAUAAUUUUUUCAAAGUGCAGUUGGUAGCCAUACAUUCAUACCAAGGUAACCAAUUCAGUGUUAUUAGGUUACCAAUUUAUUUUGAAUGUGAUGCAGUUGGUAGCCAAACCUUCAAGUAGUUGUGCCAAACCUUUUAUACCAAGAUAACCAAACCUUUAUAACAAGGUAGCCAAUCUACCUCCACACCUGCAGUAUGAAUUGGUUACCUUGGUCUGAAAGUUUGGCAACCAACGGCUUGAAGGUUUGGCUAUCAACUGCAUCACAUUCAAAAUAAAUUGGUAACUUAAUAAAACUGAAUUGGUUACCUUGGUAUGAAGAUUUGGCUACCCACUGCUUUAAGGUUUGGCUAGCCUCACCCAAAUCUACCCAAUCAAAUUCAUUAACCAACAACCUCACCAUUUCUCUUUCCUCAAAUCCCUUCCCCACCACCCCAUUCUUUCUCUCCUCCACCACCUCCACCACUCCUUCCACCUCCCAACCCACCACCACCUUCAACCUCCUGCAAACCCACCUAGCCGCCCAAAACUUCCGGCAAGCUGACGAAGAAACCCGCCGCCUCCUAAUUGCACUCGCCGACGACACCGCUAUCAAGCGCGGCUACGUCUUCUUCUCUGAGGUCUAUUACUGAUUAUGUUUCUUCUCGAUUGCUCCUUUGUUACAGAUUACAAUGAUCUAUGAAGUUUCAUUUUUGUUCUUCGUCGGAUUCAUAAAUUGGCGACGUGAUUUUUAAGUAUUUGGGUUAGUUGGUAACUGCCAAAAUAAGUGGAGUAGUUUUCUCCUUGAAUAAGGGUUUUCUUUUUUUGUUGGAUUGGAUAUACUGAUGUGUAUUGCACUAUUGUUGAUAUUAUUAUACAGUAUUUGACUGUUAAUACAAUUAUUUGGUUGGUGCACUAUUAUUAUAAUUACUUUUUAUUUGUUAUAUACUUAUGUAAAAAACCCUUAAAUCUUAUGUUGUAGUUCUUUUGGGAUGUCUCUCAUAGCCCAAAUGAGCUUGAGAUCAUAAAACAUUUGAUUUCAUGUAUUUUAAAGAAAAAUGAUAUUUGUGCUCCAAAUUUUCUCAUUUACACUCAAAUAUAGAUCAAUAAAUUUAAAAUCACUUUAUAUUUGUAAUGAAAUGUAAAGAGACAAAUUUGAAACGCAAAAAUAUCGGUCAAGGAAAAUGGUAUACCUUAUGUUUAUGUAUCGACUCUUUUGUUAUAAGUUAGGUGAAUAAUUAUUAUUAAUAAUAUUUUAACGAUAUAUAUGAUAUAGUGGGUCAAUUUUAUAAUUUUAUUUUGUGCAAUACAAAGCAAGACUCAGCGACGUGUAAUGUCAACUAUUUUGCAAAUCAAAUUAUAAGAUCACUAAUGAUUUUUAAAAAUUAAUUUAAUAUAUUUUAAAAUUCAAAAUUGAGAUAAUUCAUUAAAAAAAAUAAAAAAAUAAAUUUUAGAAUGACAAAUACUUUUUAGACAAUGAAUUGAGCAAGUAAAACUAGUCCAUUCGUCACUCUUUGGCGUGACAAACUAAUAAUGAAUAUAAAGAAAAAUGGACAGUUUUGAGUAGUGAAAGCACAAUGCUUUGAUUUGCGUAGAAGCAACAUUUAUAUGUAACAUUAAUUAUUUUAUUAAUGAAAAACAAAUAAUUUAUUUUGACUAUAAAUUAUUUUAUUAUAUAUUUUUGUGAUGAUGAUGUAUUUUUAAUACUUAAUAAUUUAAUACUCUUUUAUAAAUUUAGAAAUAAAAAUAUAAGGCUAAUCUAUCUAUAAUUUAAAGAAAAAUAAUAUACAUACUCAUAAAUAAUUAACCAAAUUGAAUGUAGAAGUAUGCCGUAAUAUAGAAGAAAUUAAAGUGAUCAAAUACAUGCUAUCUCAUUAUUAUAACUGGGCCGGGCCUAAAAAUUUUAGGAAUGAACAGGAGGAGUCUUAAAAGUAGGAGAAGAAAUAGGUUUCGGAAUCAUUUUGCGGAGGAAUGACGACCGAAGCAGUCCAGGCUUGCUGAAAACCUUCAAUCCCAACGGUGUAAUGUUCAGUUCUUUCCACAGGGACUGAGAGAUUCAAAAAUAGCUCCAGAGGUCGGUAAUUUCUGAAAUCUCAAAUCCCUUUUGUCAAAUCAUGAUGCUCAGUUUUCUAUACAAGAAUUUGCUUAAAAACACUGCUACUGCUUCUUUAAAAUCACCCCAAUUCUGUAUUUUGAAUCAGAGAUGUUUCUUCGGAUCUGAAAUUAGUGAGAGACGAAGGGAAUCAAUUUUCUCCCUCUUCAAAAUCUAUGGCUUCUCUGAAAUCCAAAUCUCCAACCUCAUAAGAAAAAGGCCAAUACUGCUAUCUUCCCAUCCAGACAAAAUACUAAAACCCAAAUUAGAUUUCUUCAAUUCAUAUGGGUUUUCACCCUCUGACCUUGAUAAAAUACUCACUAUAGACCCCGG
RNAcentral lists this long non-coding RNA (30490 nucleotides) under Panax ginseng (ginseng). Its description in RNAcentral is "long non-coding RNA (PGIN_LNC013066)". Lineage: Eukaryota; Viridiplantae; Streptophyta; Magnoliopsida; Apiales; Araliaceae. The record is from RNAcentral.